This 252-nucleotide ribosomal RNA is filed under the name uncultured bacterium. Its description in RNAcentral is "partial 16S ribosomal RNA". It matches the Rfam family "Bacterial small subunit ribosomal RNA", at positions 524 to 775 of the family's 1533-position model. The record is from RNAcentral.
UACGAAGGGGGCUAGCGUUGCUCGGAAUCACUGGGCGUAAAGGGUGCGUAGGCGGGUCUUUAAGUCAGGGGUGAAAUCCUGGAGCUCAACUCCAGAACUGCCUUUGAUACUGAGGAUCUUGAGUUCGGGAGAGGUGAGUGGAACUGCGAGUGUAGAGGUGAAAUUCGUAGAUAUUCGCAAGAACACCAGUGGCGAAGGCGGCUCACUGGCCCGGUACUGACGCUGAGGUGCGAAAGCGUGGGGAGCAACAGG